UCUGUAGGAAAAAGGUAU
This 18-nucleotide microRNA is filed under the name Xenopus laevis (African clawed frog). RNAcentral describes it as "xla-miR-5167". The record is from RNAcentral. Lineage: Eukaryota; Metazoa; Chordata; Amphibia; Anura; Pipidae.